Molecule: ribosomal RNA, 156 nt
Filed under: Brassica napus (rape)
Lineage: Eukaryota; Viridiplantae; Streptophyta; Magnoliopsida; Brassicales; Brassicaceae
Description: rRNA 5_8S_rRNA
Rfam family: 5.8S ribosomal RNA
About the family: 5.8S ribosomal RNA (5.8S rRNA) is a component of the large subunit of the eukaryotic ribosome. It is transcribed by RNA polymerase I as part of the 45S precursor that also contains 18S and 28S rRNA.
Source: RNAcentral
GACUCUUGGAAAUAGAUAUCUCGGCUCUCGCAUCGAUGAAGAACGUAGCAAAAUGCGAUACUUGGUGUGAAUUGCAGAAUCCCGUGAACCAUCGAGUCUUUGAACGCAAGAUGCACCCCAAGCCAUCUGGCCGAGGGCACGUCUGCCUGGGUGUCA